Molecule: ribosomal RNA, 293 nt
Filed under: uncultured bacterium
Lineage: Bacteria
Description: partial 16S ribosomal RNA
Rfam family: Archaeal small subunit ribosomal RNA
Source: RNAcentral
GUGCCAGCAGCCGCGGUAAUACCGGCAGCCCGAGUGAUGGCCGAUCUUAUUGGGCCUAAAGCGUCCGUAGCUGGCCGAACAAGUCCGUCGGGAAAUCCACGGGCUUAACAAGUGGGCGACCGUCGGAAACUGUUCGGCUUGGGGCCGGAGGACCCGAGGGGUACGUCCGGGGUAGGAGUGAAAUCCUGUAAUCCGGGACGGACCGCCGGUGGCGAAAGCGCCUCGGGAAGACGGACCCGACAGUGAGGGACGAAAGCUGGGAUCUCCAACCGGAUUAGAAACCCGAGUAGUCC